AGUCUCCCAAAUACUGAGCUAAUUCUGGCAAUUCAUGAAUCAAUCUCAUCAUCUAUGUAUGUGGAAAUCCCUGGAAAGUAUAAUGCCAAGUUUCCCAUAGGGGAUGGCCUCUUCUAGCUUCAGCUCUUCUGACCAAUAAGACUGCAAAGAAACAGAUGCUGACUCGCAUUUUGGUUUUUUAUAAAACUGAGGUUCACCAAAUGUGAUACAGUUUCAGGGCAUCCUUGAGGUAGGUCAAAAUUGUUUUCAUAACAGUACUAGACGUUUUCAUUCCUAACACAUCAAAUAACGAUAGCUAUAAGACCACAUUAACAAAAGUUCUUAGAGGAGGGACCUCGAUAGUUAUAGAGGGAAAAGAGAUCCUGAAAACAAAAAGAUGGACAACCGCUGCUUCUGCUGCAGAGAACUAGAAAAUAUGAGAAUUACUUUCAUCAGAUCUCAAAGUAUGAUAGACACUUUUCAGGGCAUCCUUAGGUGUCAAAAUUAUUUUCAAACAGUAUUGGAUAUUUUCAUUUCUAACACAUGAAAUGAUAGUUAUAGCCCACAUUAACAAAAACUCUUAGAGUUUUUCUUGAAAGUCAAGAAGGUAAAGAGUUCUGAAAACCAAAAGUUUGACAACUGCUUCUGCUGCUCUAAAAGACAAGAAAAAUUAGCUCCCCAACAUUGGUAUUUACCAAAGAUUAAGCAAAGCAAAGAAUUGAGGAAUACUGAUUUUUUAACAUUUUUUAUUACACAGUAAAGAAUACAACAAUACCUGAAUCAUACUUUAAAGAUUCACAGGUUGACAGACCAUACAUUACAGUCCAACUAAGGAAAAAAAGGAUAAACAAGAAACCACAGUUCAGACAUAGUAGACUUAAAAAGCUCAAAGAGUAUGCUGACAAAAGCAUGAUGCCCAGCCCCCCUCCCCCCCCAGUGUUAGUCUACCAUUAACUUGUGGUACAUGUCUGAAUUAAGUAUUGCACAACAACUUUAUUUUUUUUCACAAUAAUGUCGCAGAACCCAAAAUAAUAUUAAUAAUAAAAAAAUUACUUCAAAUCUGCAUUUCAACAGUCUUAGCAAAACAGGAGGAGAGGAAGAGGAGGAGGAGGAGGAGGAAGAGGAAGAGGGGGGAAGGAGGAAGGAGUUGGAGAUAGAGCUCAGAGUUAGGGAUUUUUGUAUUUGUUUUCACUCAGGGUGCCCUGAAUUUAAAGUAAUGAGACAUACUGUACUAAUCCUUAUUUUACACACUAGUGUUAAGAAUAACAGUGCUGUUUCACAUAUAUCACAGCUUCUAGAGAUAAAGACGUAUGGGUAUGACAUACCUCAUUUUUAUUUUUUUGGGAUUAUCUAAACCCUUCAUAGCCUAAAACAUAGAAUAGCUCUAUAAGAAAGGACUGUCCAGUGUCACAAGCAGACUAGAAACCAGAGUGAGGUCAAAUGAGUCUUGGGAGCACCAUGAUAAAAAUAUAACCCAUUCAGAGCCUGGUUAUGUGCUUUCCUUUCCCUUAAAAGCAGGUGUGCUGGCAGAUGGACUUCCAACAUGGAGAUGUAUUUAUUUGCUCAUCAGAACUUUCUGAGUUUAGAGGCAUUUAAAAAAAAUGGAAACCAACCUAAGAGAUAAGAAUGAAUGCUUACUUUUUCAUAAUUGAUCAACUAAAACCAAAUUAAGAUUCAGAUCUCCUCUUAGCAGGUAUUUAGCAAGCCCUUUGAAAGAGUAUCUAAGAGCUAUAUGAAAAUUUUGAAGAAUAAUAGAUCAUUCACAGAAAUUUAAAUAAAUACCUGGUGUGAUUAUACGUGUGUGUGUGU
Long non-coding RNA from Monodelphis domestica (gray short-tailed opossum), 1788 nucleotides. Lineage: Eukaryota; Metazoa; Chordata; Mammalia; Didelphimorphia; Didelphidae. The record is from Ensembl.